Molecule: long non-coding RNA, 208 nt
Filed under: Ananas comosus (pineapple)
Lineage: Eukaryota; Viridiplantae; Streptophyta; Magnoliopsida; Poales; Bromeliaceae
Description: long non-coding RNA (ACOM_LNC003094)
Source: RNAcentral
UUUUUCUAUUUAUUUGCUUUAUCUUUGGCAAUUUUUGACAAAAAAGGGGAGAGCAAUGAUGAACAAGUAUUGAUCGUAGCAAAGGAGAAGAUGGAAUAAAGAACAAAGGAGAAGAAGGUAUAAAGAACAAAAGGGGAGAAUGAGUGAAAUUUCGAGGAGAAGAAGCAAUGAAAAUUUGAGAACAAUGAAUGUAAGAAUGUCCAAUGGU